UACAGAGGGUGCAAGCGUUAAUCGGAUUUACUGGGCGUAAAGCGUGUGUAGGUGGCCGCGUAAGUCCGCUGUGAAAGUCAAAGACUCAACCUUUGAAAGCCGGUGGAUACUGUGAGGCUAGAGUACGGAAGAGGCGAGUGGAAUUCCUGGUGUAGCGGUGGAAUGCGCAGAUAUCAGGAGGAACACCAAUAGCGAAGGCAGCUCGCUGGGACGUUACUGACACUGAGGCGCGAAAGCGUGGGGAGCGAACAGG
This 253-nucleotide ribosomal RNA is filed under the name uncultured bacterium. Its description in RNAcentral is "partial 16S ribosomal RNA". It matches the Rfam family "Bacterial small subunit ribosomal RNA", at positions 524 to 776 of the family's 1533-position model. The record is from RNAcentral.